This 202-nucleotide ribosomal RNA is filed under the name uncultured bacterium. Its description in RNAcentral is "partial 16S ribosomal RNA". It matches the Rfam family "Bacterial small subunit ribosomal RNA", at positions 328 to 539 of the family's 1533-position model. The record is from RNAcentral.
ACGCUCGACACCUACGGGAGGCGAGCGAGUUGGGAAUAUUGGACAAUGGAGGAAACUCUGAUCCAGUGACGCCGCGUGAAGGAAGAAGGUCUUCGGAUUGUAAACUUAUUUUGUCAGGGAAGAAAAAAUGACUGUACCUGAAGAAAAAGCACCGGCUAACUACGUGCCAACAGCCGCGGUAAUCUGAGCGGGCUGGCAAGGC